UGCCCGUCAAACUGAGAGGCACUUCCUUCUUCGCCAGUUUGAGGCUUCCGAUGAUGUCCUUCAUAUCCGAACCGAAGUCUGCCAUCUGGUUGGCUGUGGCGAUCUUCUGCGACAGAGUCAGCAUGGCCCACUCCAACGCGUCCAUGUCCUCCACAUCGCGCACCUGCUCAUGAACCAAUUACGUGUCCAGUUUUCUCAACAUGGCGGCACACUACCGAUCUAUCGCUUUGUGGAACUGCUCCCGCCUCCCGAACACCAAGUGUUUUAUUUUACUUUUUUUGGUUCAAUCUUUUUCUCGGCGUACACUCGCAGAUCCUGGAUUACGUUAAGCAUAUGGAGCCGGUAGCUUUUAUUUUCGUCCAAGUCGACUCUGUGGUCGCGUCUAAAGGUGGGUUCCCACUGCCGAUCCGAUCAACUCGAUCAUCCCGAUCACCGAAAUUUCCCGACCAAACCCGACCAAGCUCGACUAAAAUGGGUAUACACGACUUCUUCUCGACCUCUUGUCGAUAACACACGACCCCCACACGACUCAUUCACGACGUCCACUCAACCAUCCUUCCGAUUUCCGCUCGAUCAUCUCGACCUAUACGCGAGCCCUAAACAAUCUCAGCUCGAGCAAGUAGACCUCAGCUCGAUCGCCACCAGAUCUUUACACGACCAGAUCGUAAUGGUCGUACUACAGUCGUACAAAGCGAUCUAAAAUAACUCGGGUAGAGGUCGAGCGGAUCGGGUACAGAGCUCGUGUAUGGUCGAAUAGCAAUCGGGAAGUGAUCGUGUACGGUCGAGUAGCCGUCGGGUAGCAGUCUAGUAAAUCUGUACAUCAAAUCGAAUAGAGGUCGAGCGGAUCGGGUACAGAUCGUGUAAAAGGUGUCAAUCCGAUCGCCACACGAUUGCUUCACGAUCAACUCGAUCUUCUACUCGACUAAUACACGACCACUUCCCGAGCGCUUCUCGAUCCAUUUCCUACUCGACCGCUACUCGAUAUUUUUUUACAUGUCAAAAAAUAUCGGGUAGGAUGCCCGACCAAUGCCGACCGACCCGACCAACCCCGACCACUCAUGCCGACAGAACCAGACCAGUACCCGACCGCUUGGUCGGGCUUGAUCGAAUUAAUCUGAUCGGCAGUGGGAACCCAGCUUAAUGCGCGACGCGAAAUCCAUGAGAUUCUCGGUCGUGUGGUCAUCGUGCGUGGUCGGGCAACAGCGCAUGUACAUCGGAUAUUGGCAUGUGCGGCAGUAUAACGUCAGCUCCUCGUUCGUAUGAUUGUCCCAGUAACCUGCAAGACAGUAGCAAAUAAACAUAAAACCAUAGCAUUAGCCUAUUAUGUAAUGUACGAUGUAAGCAAACAUACAUCUUUAUAUUAGUUUUAUCACACUACACAUACACAAUGUAUUUCGGAGUGGCUAACGAAAUAAUAUUAAACAAUCUACAUUUUUUUAAAUGACUUGUAUCGAUAGGAAGGUUGGUUUCGAUUAUCAAUUCAUUCCCGUAUUUAAGCUUGUUCCGGCAAUAAAAUAAAUAUACACAUCUCAA
Long non-coding RNA from Dreissena polymorpha, 1533 nucleotides. RefSeq lists it as uncharacterized. The transcript has 2 exons. Lineage: Eukaryota; Metazoa; Mollusca; Bivalvia; Myida; Dreissenidae. The record is from RefSeq and is a predicted model, not a curated record.